AUUGAACGCUGGCGGCAGGCCUAACACAUGCAAGUCGAACGAGUGGCGGACGGGUGAGUAAUGUCUGGGAAACUGCCUGAUGGAGGGGGAUAACUACUGGAACCGGUAGCUAAUACCGCAUACCAUCAGAUGUGCCCAGAGGGGCUUAGCUUGAUGGUGGGGUAACGGCUCACCAAGGCGACGAUCCCUAGCUGGCCGGAGAGGAUGACCAGCCACACGGGAACGGAGACACGGUCCAGACUCCUACGGGAGGCAGCAGUGGGGAAUAUUGCACAAUGGGCGAAAGCCUGAUGCAGCAAUGCGGCGUGGAGGAAGAAGGCCUUCGGGUUGUAAAGUACUUUCAGCGGGGAGGCGUUACCCGCAGAAGAAGCAACGGCUAACUCCGUGCCAGCAGCCGCGGUAAUUC
This 406-nucleotide ribosomal RNA is filed under the name uncultured bacterium. Its description in RNAcentral is "partial 16S ribosomal RNA". It matches the Rfam family "Bacterial small subunit ribosomal RNA", at positions 29 to 526 of the family's 1533-position model. The record is from RNAcentral.